Trichosurus vulpecula (common brushtail) is the source of this 158-nucleotide small nuclear RNA. RefSeq annotates it as U1 spliceosomal RNA. NCBI's taxonomy places the organism in Eukaryota, Metazoa, Chordata, Mammalia, Diprotodontia, Phalangeridae. The transcript has a single exon. The record is from RefSeq and is a predicted model, not a curated record.
ACAAUUACAUGGAAGUGGAGACACUGUGAUCAGGAAAGUAAUUUUUCCCAAGACGAAGCUCAUUUGUUUUAUACUGGCUAUGCUGACCCCUGAAAUUUCUCACCUGCAGGAAACUUGACUGCACAAUUUGUGGUAGUAAAGGUUACAUUCAUGCAAGA